This 552-nucleotide ribosomal RNA is filed under the name uncultured Acaulospora. Its description in RNAcentral is "SSU rRNA". It matches the Rfam family "Eukaryotic small subunit ribosomal RNA", at positions 548 to 1098 of the family's 1831-position model. Lineage: Eukaryota; Fungi; Glomeromycota; Glomeromycetes; Diversisporales; Acaulosporaceae. The record is from RNAcentral.
UUGGAGGGCAAGUCUGGUGCCAGCAGCCGCGGUAAUUCCAGCUCCAAUAGCGUAUAUUAAAGUUGUUGCAGUUAAAAAGCUCGUAGUUGAAUUUCGGGGUUCAUACGUUGGUCGGGCUUUUUUGGUCUGUACUUAUGUAAUGAAUUCCUACCUUCUGAAUAACCGGCAUGUCAUUAAUUUGGUGCGCCGGGGAAGCAGGACUGUUACCUUGAAAAAAUUAGAGUGCUUAAAGCAGGCUAUCGCCUGAAUACAUUAGCAUGGAAUAAUGAAAUAGGACGGCAUGGUUCUAUUUUGUUGGUUUCUAGGAUCACCGUAAUGAUUAAUAGGGAUAGUUGGGGGCAUUAGUAUUCAAUUGUCAGAGGUGAAAUUCUUGGAUUUAUUGAAGACUAACUUCUGCGAAAGCAGUUGCCAAGGAUGUUUUCAUUAAUCAAGAACGAAAGUUAGGGGAUCGAAGACGAUCAGAUACCGUCGUAGUCUUAACCAUAAACUAUGCCGACUAGGGAUCGGACGAAGUUAAUUUUUUAAUGACUCGUUCGGCGCCUUACGGGAAAC